CCAAAACUUCAAAAACCUCUCAAAUCUUCAAAAAUCAAAAUCCUUCAGAUUACAAAAAACCCAAAAUUCAAAAAUGUUCGGCGUCGUCUUCCCCAAUCGAAGUUUCCCAAUUGAUAUCUCAACCUUCACCCAAAUCGAUACUUUUCACUGGGUUCUCGACAUGAACCACUUCGUCGGUGAAGCAUAUGAUCAAAUCUCAGAGAUGUGUAUCUUCUUGUUAAACAACUUCAAUCUCCCACCAGAUAAAGCAUUAGCUGUGUAUGUUCAAUCACCAGGCUCUGCUUUUGUGUUCUGUGGUGCUGUAACUUUAGCUAGACCUUCUGCUGUGUUGUCACUUCAAUGGCCUGAACCUGGUAGUGCGGCGCAGAUGCAACUCACGGCGGGUGAUUCGAGUUCUUUAUCGGCCAAGAUUGGUGUUUCGGUUGAGGAUGCGGCGGCUUUGAGUUCGAUGGAUGUUGUGGCUGAGAGGAAGAUUGAGAAAUUGGCUAUGAAAGUUGGGGAGAAUUUGUUUAACUUUAUGCAGUCUUUUUGUGGUGUUGAUGGGAGUAAAUUGGUUGUUCCUAUGGAUAUUUUGGAUCGGUGGUUUAAGAAGUUUCAGGAGAAAGCUAAACGUGAUCCUGGUUUCCUCAAAAGCUUUGCUUUGUAAGAUCAUAUUCUGCUCCUAAGCAAGUGUUGAACUUUAACAUCUAGAGCUUUGGGGUAGAUGAAAGUUGCGGCUGUUUCAGAUCUGGCAUCGUCUUAAGCUUUAUCGUAUUGCUUUGAGAUAGAUGAAAGGUGAUUUAAACAGCUUAUGUUCCUGAGAAGCUUCAGUUCACUACAGCUGUGGUUUUACCCAUUAGGUUUUGGGGUGUUGAUUGAUGAACCGAAGAAAAGUAUCGUUUUUACUUAGUUUGCAAUGAGAAUUCGUGAGGGAUGUUUAAAUUUUCUCUCAACGUGCUUCUUGCUGAUAUAUGAAUCACAAAUCCAUUAACUUGAUGCUGUUAGCCUGUUACUGAUCAGCUGAGUUCAUGUAAUUAAACUCAAUCAAACUCUGCUCUUAGCAAUU
Capsella rubella is the source of this 1045-nucleotide RNA transcript. It is a transcript of the gene named protein OPI10 homolog, with no coding region annotated. The record is from RefSeq and is a predicted model, not a curated record. Lineage: Eukaryota; Viridiplantae; Streptophyta; Magnoliopsida; Brassicales; Brassicaceae. The transcript is spliced from 4 exons.